UGAGGAAUAUUGGUCAAUGGGCGCAAGCCUGAACCAGCCAAGUAGCGUGAAGGACGAAGGCCCUACGGGUUGUAAACUUCUUUUAUGCGGGGAUAAAACGGCCCACGGGUGGGUCCUUGCAGGUACCGCAUGAAUAAGGACCGGCUAAUUCCGUGCCAGCAGCCGCGGUAAUACGGAAGGUCCGGGCGUUAUCCGGAUUUAUUGGGUUUAAAGGGAGCGCAGGCGGGGACUCAAGUCAGCCGUCAAAUGUCCGGGCUCAACCCGGGCUCGCGGUUGAAACUGUUUCCCUUGGGUGCACAAGAGGCAGGCGGAACUCGUGGUGUAGCGGUGAAAUGCAUAGAUAUCACGAAGAACCCCGAUUGCGAAGGCAGCCUGCUGGGGUGUUACCGACGCUCAUGCUCGAAGGUGCGGGUAUCAAACAGG
Molecule: ribosomal RNA, 423 nt
Filed under: uncultured bacterium
Lineage: Bacteria
Description: bacterial SSU rRNA
Rfam family: Bacterial small subunit ribosomal RNA
Source: RNAcentral